Molecule: small RNA, 900 nt
Filed under: Pan troglodytes (chimpanzee)
Lineage: Eukaryota; Metazoa; Chordata; Mammalia; Primates; Hominidae
Description: retained intron
Source: RNAcentral
ACCAAACCUGCCACCAGGGGGCAACCCAGAGCACUCAUGGCCCAGCCUGGGCAGAGGCCCCGGCCAGUGGAGCUCUCAGAUCUGCAGCUCUAAAUCCUAGAAUCCCAUGUGGUCUGCUGUAGGGGGGGGACACUUGGCUCUGGACAUGCAACAGGGCAGGUGACCAGCUCACCUUGGGAUCAUCCCCAGGCUCAGUCAGGCAACCAAGAAUUCAGGCAGCAGUCAAGGCCUGGGAGGCGGCCCGGGCAGUCACAGCCAUACGACCAUGGCCAACAAGGUGGAGACGCUGAAGGAGGAGGAGGAGGAGCUGAAGAGGAAAGUGGAGCAAUGCAGGGACGAGUACUUGGCUGACCUGUACCACUUUGUUACCAAGGAGGACUCCUAUGCCAACUACUUCAUUCAUCUCCUGGAGAUUCAGGCCGAUUACCAUCGCAGGUCACUGAGCUCGCUGGACACAGCCCUGGCUGAGCUGAGGGAGAACCACGGCCAAGCAGACCACUCCCCCUCGAUGACAGCCACCCACUUCCCCAGGGUGUAUGGGGUGUCGCUGGCAACCCACCUGCAAGAGCUGGGCCGGGAGAUUGCCCUGCCCAUCGAGGCCUGCGUCAUGAUGCUGCUUUCUGAGGGCAUGAAGGAAGAGGGUCUCUUCCGUCUGGCUGCUGGGGCCUCGGUGCUGAAGCGUCUCAAGCAGACAAUGGCCUCGGACCCCCACAGCCUGGAGGAGUUCUGCUCCGACCCGCACGCCAUGGCAGGUGCCCUCAAGUCCUAUCUGCGGGAGCUGCCAGAGCCUCUGAUGACCUUCGACCUCUAUGACGACUGGAUGAGGGCAGCCAGCCUGAAGGAGCCAGGGGCCCGGCUGCAGGCCCUCCAAGAGGUGUGCAGCCGCCUACCCCCCGAGAA